AACGAACGCUGGCGGCGUGCUUAACACAUGCAAGUCGAGCGGGAAAGUUUCCUUCGGGAAGCGAGUACAGCGGCAGACGGGUGAGUACAACGUAGGUAACCUACCCUCGAGACCGGGAUAACCUGUCGAAAGACGGGCUAAUACCGGAUAAGACCACAAGGGCUGCGGCCUUUGAGGUAAAAGAUGGCCUCUGCUUGCAAGCUAUCACUUGGGGGAUGGGGCCUGCGCGCCAUUAGCAGUUGGUGAGGUAACGGCUCACCAAGGCAAAGAUGGCUAGCUGGUCUGAGAGGAUGGCCAGCCACACUGGGACUGAGACACGGCCCAGACUCCUACGGGAGGCAGCAGUGGGGAAUAUUGCGCAAUGGGCGAAAGCCUGACGCAGCGACGCCGCGUGGGUG
This 398-nucleotide ribosomal RNA is filed under the name uncultured bacterium. Its description in RNAcentral is "bacterial SSU rRNA". It matches the Rfam family "Bacterial small subunit ribosomal RNA", at positions 29 to 407 of the family's 1533-position model. The record is from RNAcentral.